CUGCAACCAAACAAGCUCUUUCCCCACUAGGGCCCAGUGACCAGUGGUUGCAGACAGCCACCUCCUUGGCAGUGUCUGCAGCCUGCUGACUCCCUGAGUUGCCCUAAGAGACCAUGGAGACAGCC
Molecule: small nucleolar RNA, 125 nt
Filed under: Suricata suricatta (meerkat)
Lineage: Eukaryota; Metazoa; Chordata; Mammalia; Carnivora; Herpestidae
Description: Small nucleolar RNA SNORA70 (ENSSSUG00005017911.1)
Rfam family: Small nucleolar RNA SNORA70
About the family: snoRNA U70 seems to be exclusive to mammals and is a member of the H/ACA class of snoRNA which contain H (ANANNA) and ACA box motifs.
Source: Rfam by way of RNAcentral